UAAGGGGCAUGUUUUAGCGUCCAAAGACUACCAACAAUGUCCUGCCAGAUAUAGGCUUGUGAUGUGCAUGCAUGCAUGGCCCCCGUAAAUGAAGGAAAUCCUGGUGGAGCAUAGCUGAAGAGUGACCAAAACUGACCUAACUUGGUCCCAUAUGAACCAGGCCUGGGUUUGGAUGUUUCAGUCUAUGUUGGUUGGGUUCAACCGUUCAAGUUAAGAGCUUUUAGCGAAAU
RNAcentral lists this long non-coding RNA (230 nucleotides) under Elaeis guineensis (African oil palm). RNAcentral describes it as "long non-coding RNA (EGUI_LNC026475)". The record is from RNAcentral. Lineage: Eukaryota; Viridiplantae; Streptophyta; Magnoliopsida; Arecales; Arecaceae.